CACACUGGAACUGAGACACGGUCCAGACUCCUACGGGAGGCAGCAGUGGGGAAUUUUGGACAAUGGGCGCAAGCCUGAUCCAGCAAUGCCGCGUGAGUGAAGAAGGCCUUCGGGUUGUAAAGCUCUUUUGUCAGGGAAGAAACGGUGAGGGCUAAUAUCCCUUGCUAAUGACGGUACCUGAAGAAUAAGCACCGGCUAACUACGUGCCAGCAGCCGCGGUAAUACGUAGGGUGCAAGCGUUAAUCGGAAUUACUGGGCGUAAAGCGUGCGCAGGCGGUUUUGUAAGUCUGUCGUGAAAUCCCCGGGCUCAACCUGGGAAUUGCGAUGGAGACUGCAAGGCUAGAAUCUGGCAGAGGGGGGUAGAAUUCCACGUGUAGCAGUGAAAUGCGUAGAGAUGUGGAGGAACACCGAUGGCGAAGGCAGCCCCCUGGGUCAAGAUUGACGCUCAUGCACGAAAGCGUGGGGAGCAAACAGGAUUAGAUACCCUGGUAGUCCACGCCCUAAACGAUGUCUACUAGUUGUCGGGUCUUAAUUGACUUGGUAACGCAGCUAACGCGUGAAGUAGACCGCCUGGGGAGUACGGUCGCAAGAUUAAAACUCAAAGGAAUUGACGGGGACCC
RNAcentral lists this ribosomal RNA (620 nucleotides) under uncultured bacterium. Its description in RNAcentral is "bacterial SSU rRNA". It matches the Rfam family "Bacterial small subunit ribosomal RNA", at positions 309 to 922 of the family's 1533-position model. The record is from RNAcentral.